This 1061-nucleotide long non-coding RNA is filed under the name Homo sapiens (human). Its description in RNAcentral is "HSALNT0389322". Lineage: Eukaryota; Metazoa; Chordata; Mammalia; Primates; Hominidae. The record is from RNAcentral.
AUGAUGGGGCCGGGCCGAGUUACCCGUUGGCAGGGGAGCAGUGUGAUCAGGCAUGGAGGGGUGGACAGAGAGGAGCCCCGAGGUGGAGCUGGGCCCUGAGCGGUGCCGCGCUCCAUGGAGCUGGCAGGAGCUGGAAGCUGGCAAGAGCCCCACCUCCCAGUCGCAGCUGCAGCUGCCCAGCCGUGGCUGUGGACCCAGGCAUCUCUGCAGUCUAAGGGGCCCAGGAAGCCUGUGGGCUUGGAGAUGUCUGCUCCUGCUGCCUGGCCUCUCCCUGCUCCUGGUGCCCGUUCUGAUCUCAGAGCGAGGUUGGGGCCAAGCCUGGGUGCUGUUGCAGCCUGACCGGGUGUGCGCAUGCUUGGGACAGUGGUGACAUGCCAGGCCCCUGCCACUUUGGCCUCCUCUAGACUUCAGGCACUGGCGAGCAUGGGAGGGAGGCUGAGAUGGGGACUGAGGGCAGCUUGGUGUAGGCCUGCAGGUACCCUUUGGCAUGGCCUUGGCAGCUUGAAUGCCAGCAGGAGGCAGACAGGCUCCUGGGCAGAAGGGGGCAGAUGCCCCGUGAAGCCCCACCUUCAGGCUGGGAGGGCCUGAAGCCCGGGGGCUGGGUUGCUGAUCCCGCAGACCAGUGUGGGAACUUGUGACGCGGGUCCUCCCAUGGCUGCCCAUGGACCAAUCGGCACACUCUUCUUCCCCUCUGAGGCCCAUAAAAAGCCUCCCGGACUCUGCCAGACCAGAAGAGAGACGACGGCAUGACCUGCCUACAGGGAGGAACUACCCUCUCUGCUGAGAGCUGAAGGGGUGACAGGAUGAUCUGCCUGCAGAGAGGAGCUACCCUCUCUCCUGAGAACUGAAGAGACGUUGGGAUGACCUGCCUGCAGAGAGGAACUACCCUCUCUGCUGAGAGCUGAACAUUCUUCGGGACAGCCUGCCAAGCAGAGAGGAGCUAUCCUCUCUGCUGAGAACUGAACACUUGUUGGGACACCCUGGCUACAGAGAGGAGGUACUCACUGUAGGUUUCCUCUGAGCUGUUGUGUCGCUCAGUAAAGCUCCUGUUUGUCUUGCUC